Exophiala bonariae is the source of this 147-nucleotide non-coding RNA. The record is from the annotation of a RefSeq genome assembly. NCBI's taxonomy places the organism in Eukaryota, Fungi, Ascomycota, Eurotiomycetes, Chaetothyriales, Herpotrichiellaceae.
GACAGUUUGGCCGAGUGUAAGGAUCCACCAUUAGUUACACUGUUAUGAAAUAUAUACUAAUAAUCUAUACAGGGUUAAGGCGACAGACUCGAAUCAAAUCGCAAUCUGUUGGGUUCGCCCGCACAGGUUCAAAUCCUGUAGCUGUCG